Molecule: ribosomal RNA, 407 nt
Filed under: uncultured bacterium
Lineage: Bacteria
Description: bacterial SSU rRNA
Rfam family: Bacterial small subunit ribosomal RNA
Source: RNAcentral
UGGGGAAUAUUGCACAAUGGGCGCAAGCCUGAUGCAGCAACGCCGCGUGAGGGACGACGGCCUUCGGGUUGUAAACCUCUUUUGGCAGGGAAGAAGCGAAAGUGACGGUACCUGCAGAAAAAGCACCGGCUAACUACGUGCCAGCAGCCGCGGUGAUACGUAGGGUGCAAGCGUUGUCCGGAAUUAUUGGGCGUAAAGAGCUCGUAGGCGGUUUGUCGCGUCUGCUGUGAAAACCCGAGGCUCAACCUCGGGCCUGCAGUGGGUACGGGCAAACUAGAGUGCGGUAGGGGAGAUUGGAAUUCCUGGUGUAGCGGUGGAGUGCGCAGAUAUCAGGAGGAACACCGAUGGCGAAGGCAGAUCUCUGGGCCGUAACUGACGCUGAGGAGCGAAAGCAUGGGGAGCGAACA